This 496-nucleotide ribosomal RNA is filed under the name uncultured bacterium. RNAcentral describes it as "partial 16S ribosomal RNA". It matches the Rfam family "Bacterial small subunit ribosomal RNA", at positions 29 to 507 of the family's 1533-position model. The record is from RNAcentral.
AUGAACGCUGGCGGCGUGCCUCAUACAUGCAGGUCGAGCGAACGGACGAGAAGCUUGCUUCUCUGAUGUUAGCGGCGGACGGGUGAGUAACACGUGGAUAACCUACCUAUAAGACUGGGAUAACUUCGGGAAACCGGAGCUAAUACCGGAUGAUAUUUUGAACCGCAUGGUUCAAAAGUGAAAGACGGUCUUGCUGUCACUUAUAGAUGGAUCCGCGCUGCAUUAGCUAGUUGGUAAGGUAACGGCUUACCAAGGCAACGAUGCAUAGCCGACCUGAGAGGGUGAUCGGCCACACUGGAACUGAGACACGGUCCAGACUCCUACGGGAGGCAGCAGUAGGGAAUCUUCCGCAAUGGGCGAAAGCCUGACGGAGCAACGCCGCGUGAGUGAUGAAGGUCUUCGGAUCGUAAAACUCUGUUAUUAGGGAAGAACAUAUGUGUAAGUAACUGUGCACAUCUUGACGGUACCUAAUCAGAAAGCCACGGCUAACUACGUG